RNAcentral lists this ribosomal RNA (624 nucleotides) under Triticum aestivum (bread wheat). Its description in RNAcentral is "partial small subunit ribosomal RNA". The record is from RNAcentral. Lineage: Eukaryota; Viridiplantae; Streptophyta; Magnoliopsida; Poales; Poaceae.
GUUCAGAAGGAGAUCAUCAUCCGGAUGCAGCCGGGCUCGGACAAAUACCACAAGAGAGCUCUGAAGGUGGCCGCUGCCAUCAGCGGAGUGGUGUCGAUCACGGUGGCCGGCAGGGACAGGGAUCUGCUGGUGGUCAUCGGCGACGGCGUGGACGAGAGCCAUCUGACUAAGAAACUGAAGAAGGAGGUCGGGGAGGCCGAGAUAGUGCAGCUGCGGACGCUACACGAAGGCACCUCGGCGUCAGGGUAUCUGCCGGGCACGUCCAGGGACGUCGGCGGCGGACAGUCCCGGUCGCCGUACCACCAGCAUCCCAUGAACACUCCCGGCCAGGUCGCAUACCCGGUCUACGCGCCGUCGCCGGCGGCCAAUCCCGGCGCUGCACGGUGGUCGGGAGACCAGAGGCAUGCGGAGGCGGGAUACUAUCCUAGCGCGUCCAGCCCGUCCUUCUACCACGCGUCGCCCGCGGCCGGGCACGGCGGGUACGGGGGCAGCAGCUAUGCAAGCGCGGUGGCGCGCAGCCACCCGGCGAACUACUCCCCGAUGAUCGAGCGGCACCGGCACGACGACGGGAGCUGGCGUCGGCACCACGGCGGGGGAAAGCCCAGCUGCUGCUCGAUACAGUAG